UACGGAGUGUGCAAGCGUUACUCGGAAUCACUGGGCCUAAAGCGCGCGUAGGCGGGUAUUCAAGUCGGUUGUGAAAUCCCCCAGCUCAACUGGGGAACUGCAUCCGAUACUGUCUGUCUUGAGGACGAGAGGGGAGAGUGGAACUUCUGGUGGAGCGGUGAAAUGCGUAGAUAUCAGAAGGAACGCCGGUGGCGAAAGCGACUCUCUGGCUCGUAUCUGACGCUGAGGUGCGAAAGCUUGGGUAGCAAACGGG
RNAcentral lists this ribosomal RNA (253 nucleotides) under uncultured bacterium. RNAcentral's name for it is "partial 16S ribosomal RNA". It matches the Rfam family "Bacterial small subunit ribosomal RNA", at positions 524 to 776 of the family's 1533-position model. The record is from RNAcentral.